GUUUCAGGGCGGGGUGAAAUUCCUCACCGGCGGUAAUGUGUCGCAUAUGCGAUAUUAGUCCGCGACCGAAACGGCUGAUAAAGAGUCGUUUCGCUGAUUUCGGUGCGAUUCCGAAACCGACGGUCAAAGUCCGGAUGAAAGAAAC
This 145-nucleotide non-coding RNA is filed under the name pig gut metagenome. RNAcentral's name for it is "FMN riboswitch (RFN element)". It matches the Rfam family "FMN riboswitch aptamer (RFN element)". Rfam says of the family: The RFN element is a highly conserved domain that is found frequently in the 5'-untranslated regions of prokaryotic mRNAs that encode for flavin mononucleotide (FMN) biosynthesis and transport proteins. The record is from RNAcentral.